AUGUCCCCGACGGCAAGUUCUACCUUGGAGAUGCUGGCUAUGCAUGUCGGUCGGGUAUUCUUCCACCCUUCAGGAAAAUCAGGUACCAUCUCAACGAGUUCUCUGGUAGGAACUAUCCUAGGACUGCACAGGAGCUGUUUAAUCUCAAACACAGUAAUUGUUGAGAGGGCAUUUGAAGCUCUGAAGAAUAGGUUUAAGAUCCUGGAUCAGAAGCCAUUCCACCCAUACUCCACUCAGGUUAAGCUUGUUCUUGCUUGUUGCAUUCUGCAUAACUGGAUCCUCCAAUGGGGCUUUGAUGAACACGUGCCUGAGGAGGAAGAGGUCGAGCCUGACGAUGUUGUUAGCUCCGGUCAUGGUGUGGAGGCAUUUGACAAUGACGCUUGGAAGAACAAAAGGUUGGAGUGGGCAGAGGCAAUGUGGCUUAAUAGAGGUCAGUGCAGGAUUUGA
This 447-nucleotide ribosomal RNA is filed under the name Triticum aestivum (bread wheat). Its description in RNAcentral is "partial small subunit ribosomal RNA". The record is from RNAcentral. Lineage: Eukaryota; Viridiplantae; Streptophyta; Magnoliopsida; Poales; Poaceae.